GACGCACGCUAGCUACAGGCUUAACACAUGCAAGUCGAGGGGUAGCAGGGUAGCAAUACCGCUGACGACCGGCGCCCGGGUGAGUCACACGUAUCCAACCUUCCCAUAACUCGGGGAUAGCCUUUCGAAAGAAAGCUUAAUACCCGAUAGUACUUUUUCAAGGCAUCUUGAGAAAGUUAAAGAUUUAUUGGUUAGGGAUGGGGAUGCGUUCCAUUAGAUAGUUGGUGAGGUAACGGCUCACCAAGUCUUCGAUGGAUAGGGGUUCUGAGAGGAAGGUCCCCCACAUUGGUACUGAGACACGGACCAAACUCCUACGGGAGGCAGCGGUGAGGAAUAUUGGUCAAUGGGCGAGAGCCUGAACCAGCCAAGUAGCGUGAAGGAUGAAGGUCCUAUGGAUUGUAAACUUCUUUUAUAGUAGAAUAAAGUGACCUACGUGUGGGUUUUUGUAUGUAUACUAUGAAUAAGGAUCGGCUAACUCCGUGCCAGCAGCCGCCGUAA
RNAcentral lists this ribosomal RNA (498 nucleotides) under uncultured bacterium. RNAcentral describes it as "partial 16S ribosomal RNA". It matches the Rfam family "Bacterial small subunit ribosomal RNA", at positions 28 to 523 of the family's 1533-position model. The record is from RNAcentral.